GCUGGUACAAGUAGCGAAUGUGAAAGCAAUGCCCUUUUUCAAAGGAGGAUUUGCACCUUGGCGAAUGGUCAGCCGCCAGGCUGAUUUCAUGCCUAAAAUUGCCCGGUGAUACGGUCAUGCGGACGCUGCUUGCAUGGCGGGGGAGUUUAUCGGUGUCUUGCCUGUUUCAUGGAUGACCGUUAAGCAGAUAGAGGAAACCGAUGUCAA
Molecule: small RNA, 207 nt
Filed under: bovine gut metagenome
Description: RT-2 RNA
Rfam family: RT-2 RNA
About the family: Coriobacteriales (Actinobacteria), Clostridiales (Firmicutes). Downstream gene
Source: RNAcentral